Molecule: ribosomal RNA, 500 nt
Filed under: uncultured bacterium
Lineage: Bacteria
Description: partial 16S ribosomal RNA
Rfam family: Bacterial small subunit ribosomal RNA
Source: RNAcentral
GAUGAACGCUAGCGGCAGGCUUAAUACAUGCAAGUCGUGGGGCAGCAUGAGUAGCAAUACUUGAUGGCGACCGGCAAACGGGUGCGGAACACGUACACAACCUUCCGAUCAGUGGGGAAUAGCCCAGAGAAAUUUGGAUUAAUACCCCGUAAGAUAUAGAGUAGGCAUCUUCUUUAUAUUAUAUCUUCGGCGCUUAUUGAUGGGUUUGCGUCGGAUUAGGUAGUUGGCGGGGUAACGGCCCAACAAGCCUACGAGCAGUAGCUGAAGUGAGAGCAUGAUCAGCCACACGGGCACUGAGACACGGACCCGACUCCUACGGGACGAAGCAGUAAGGAAUAUUGGACAAUGGGCGAAAGCCUGAUCCAGCCAUGCCGCGUGAAGGAUUAAGGUCCUCUGUAUUGUAAACUUCUUUUAUGUGGGACGAAAAAAGGGAAUUCUUUCCCACUUGACGGUACCAAGUGAAUAAGCACCGGCUAACUCCGUGCCAGCCGCCGCCGUAA